Drosophila mojavensis is the source of this 445-nucleotide long non-coding RNA. RefSeq lists it as uncharacterized. The transcript is spliced from 2 exons. NCBI's taxonomy places the organism in Eukaryota, Metazoa, Arthropoda, Insecta, Diptera, Drosophilidae. The record is from RefSeq and is a predicted model, not a curated record.
UGCACCUUUUUAAUUAAAGGCUUUAGUCUCAAAAUACACAUAAACAAAGGUGUUUUCACAAUUUACCUGAUUUAACAAACAAUCUUCUCGAAAGUUGACCUGUAUGUGAAAAUUUGCAAUUGGAACGCGUCAGUGAACUCAUUUGUCAUUGCCAGCACAAAAAAAUAUCGAUUAACCGAUAUUUUGCACGUGUUUAAUAUGGCUACGCUGGCAGCUCGGGCUACUAAUUCCAAUACAGACGAAAAAAUUUAUGUAUGAAACAUUUUAUAUGUAUGUGUAAACGGCAAUAAUUUACGUGUUUACGUAUACUGCAUAUUGUAAAGGCUGUCAUGUAAAAAACAAUGAUUUUUGAAUAAUUUACUCGAUUAAAAGCAAGGGAACGAUGAACAUAUACAUAUGUGUGUAUGUACGUACAUACAUACAUACAUAUGAGUGUGCACAUUUA